UUCUGUUAAUUUGUUUGUUUUAAAUUGUUUUUUACUUCAAAGAUAAUUUGUCUGUCUUUACAAUAGUACAAAAUUAACUACAUUUAUUGAUAGUUGUUAGUGUGUUAAGUAUACUUGAUGAAUUGGUUACAUUUCUCUGUCACAAAUUUAAUAUCCAUUUUUUUUGUCUUGUAAAUGUACAAAGUGUGAAUUGCCAAGAAUGGAUUAAAUAUUUUAAAUAUUGUUGCUAAAUAAUAACGUUUUACUUGUGUUGUAUGUUUUUCAGAGCAGCGGCUUUUCGUUGGAAAACAUCAGCUUAGUUUAUAAACUGAAAUUAUUCUAUUGCACAUCUUUAAUCGGUACCCAUAAAAAUCUAGACUGUACAUGUCUGAAUCUUACAAAUCUGGAAACUAGAAUUUCGAACUUAGUUAAAAUCUGAAAGGUACAAAAAUGGAUUACAUAUUUUUAUAAAUAUCCUAUUAAGAGGUUAGUGUUGGCCUUAAAUAUACAAUUGCAUAAAAUACAAUGUUUAAGGGACGAUGUGUAUUAAUUUUUUUUUUUUAAAUAAGCGCUUUUACGUAACAUUCCCUUUAUUUGCCGACGUCGGAAUUCCGCGAUUAUAUUUGUAGAAAAUUGAACGUCUCGCUUUGAAAUUCCAUAUCACUGUUCCAUCGUUAUUUGGCAAUCAAUUUUCGUUUUGCUAGGACCUCGCAGGGAAGUCCAACACUCGAAUAUUCUCGAAAGCGUGUCCGUAACAUAUGUAAAGUGAUCAAUCCAGACCUAGGUACUAGUGUAACACUUUUAAGUUUCGACGAGUAGUGGAGAAUUUCGGGGCCCGACGUGUCCGUCCCCGAUGGUUGCCGGUAUUUGCGUUCCGCUGCCCGCUAUUCUGCCGCUGCCGGAACUUGCGCGUGGAAUAUCAAGUCAACGAGACGGCGGAAUAAAAAAGAAUUCCGCCGCGAAAUCGAUUUAAACCAAUACUCGCCAUUUAUAAGUUAUAAUACGAGAAUAUAUAAAACAAUGUUCAAUUGCUUAUACGCAGUCCGGGGGAGGGUGGGGUGUCUUCGACGGUUCUUACUGUUCUUAGGUGCGUCUAAAAUGAUUUUUUUUGUUUUUGACUUGUCGCCCAGAUAAAAAAAAAAAAUCGUUCAACGUUUUGCCGUUCCGUGUGGCGCUAUUUCAAAUAACGCUGUGCGUCCGUGUUUAACACCAAAUACUAUUAUAAACGAUCCAACUAGUUUGCGCAACAACAGUAUUGCCAACAAUUGAUUCAAAAGUAAAAUUAAAUUUUAAAGUGAGGCGUUCAAAUUCCCAUAAAUAUAAUCGCGGAAUUUUGACAUUAUGCAUACUACUAGAAAUAUAGAAAGAGCCGAUAAUUUGACGUUGGCGAGUAAAGGAUUUUUGUACAAACGUUUAGUUUAAAAAAAUAAUAAUAAAAAUUGCUUAUACGUAGCCCCUUAAAUAUUGAAUUUAUGUAAUGGUAUAUUUAUGGCCUACACUUACCCCUUGAACGGAUAAACAUAAUAUUGUGUAGUCCAGAUUAAUACGGCCCAGUUUUGUACUUUCCAGAUUUUUACGGAUUUCGAGAUUCUAGUUUCCAUAUUUGUACGCAC
Molecule: long non-coding RNA, 1592 nt
Filed under: Cinara cedri
Lineage: Eukaryota; Metazoa; Arthropoda; Insecta; Hemiptera; Aphididae
Source: RNAcentral